CAGAGGGGGCAAGCGUUGUUCGGAAUUACUGGGCGUAAAGGGCGCGUAGGCGGCCUUCUAAGUCGAACGUGAAAUCCCUGGGCUCAACCCAGGAACUGCGUCCGAUACUGGGAGGCUUGAAUCCGGGAGAGGGAUGCGGAAUUCCAGGUGUAGCGGUGAAAUGCGUAGAUAUCUGGAGGAACACCGGUGGCGAAGGCGGCAUCCUGGACCGGUAUUGACGCUGAGGCGCGAAAGCCAGGGGAGCAAACGGGAUUAGAUACCCCGGUAGUCCUGGCCCUAAACGAUGAAUGCUUGGUGUGGCGGGUAUCGAUCCCUGCCGUGCCGAAGCUAACGCAUUAAGCAUUCCGCCUGGGGAGUACGGUCGCAAGGCUG
RNAcentral lists this ribosomal RNA (372 nucleotides) under uncultured organism. RNAcentral's name for it is "bacterial SSU rRNA". It matches the Rfam family "Bacterial small subunit ribosomal RNA", at positions 526 to 896 of the family's 1533-position model. The record is from RNAcentral.